Anser cygnoides (Swan goose) is the source of this 1699-nucleotide long non-coding RNA. NCBI's taxonomy places the organism in Eukaryota, Metazoa, Chordata, Aves, Anseriformes, Anatidae. The record is from Ensembl.
GGGGAAAACAGGGGUGAGAAAAGGUCUUGACAAUGUCGGAGCAGCCCGUGUCACUCUGUCAGGACAAAUAUUUACAUUUUUUGUUGUAAAGUUACCCUUGUUUUGAAAACGUUUGUUUUAUUUGCACUCCGUUACCACACUUUAAAAAAACCACAAGGAAAACAAAGUGAUUUUGCAGAAAUACAAUGUUCUGGCCGAAGCAGAAUGACUUUUUUUUUUUUUUUCCCUGUGAAUUUUCCCUGGGAAAGUUGACAUUUCGGGGCUUUUUCCAAAGCAGAAAUCUCAGCGCAGUCUCCAGCCCCCAUUUGCCCGGCUGUGUCUUGUAGGAAUAAUGGCAAUUCUCGGGGGGUUAAUGAAGGCUUUCAAAAGAGUUUAAUCAAUGCUCGGCGGCCGUCAGGCAGUUUCACUGCCGGUUUCUCCGGCCCGGAGCCAUCUGUACCGCUUCCUCCCAGCGUGCUCAAACCCACCCAGAGCAUAUGCUGCUCAUGGCUGGGUGGCAUUUCGGUAAUUCAUUAAAAUAGCUCACCAGCCAUCAAGGAGGGAGCGCUGCAGGUAGGACCCGGAGAGCACGCAGGCAUUGUUUAAAUAGGAAAUCUUUCCUGAUGGCAAAUCCGUGCCGAAAGCAGCGGGUUUGGGGAGCGCGUGUGCAUCCCCCACGCAGGUGAUGCGCCGUCCCGCCAGGUGUGGGAGUUGCAGCAAUUAUUUUCCUUGCCUGGGGGAGGAUGGGAGCAAUUUGGGGAUUUGGGUAAUUAGCGCAAUUGGGGCUCGGAACAGACAGUUAAUAAUUUGGGUGAAAUGGAGAUAUGAAUGCCAUGGUGACACAGGAAAUGGCUCCGGUGGGAUCUCGUCACGGCGAAGUCUGAGUCCCAGCCUGGGGUCUUAGGCUGAGAGGUGGCUUCCCCCGUCCUGACCCCGGCACGGGAUGCAGCAAGGAGGGUGUGAGUGCUCUGCAGCCCCAAAUUCAUCCGUCCCAAGGCAGAGGCUCCCUCAGGCUCCUGCACACCCAACCUCCUCCCACCCAAAGAUCUCUCCAGCUGUUACUGAAGCAUGUUUCGAUGCACACGUGGCCCAAGACACUGGGGUUGGGAUGGAUCCUGCACAGGGAAAAGGAUUGUGGAAAGCAACAGCAGCCCGUGAAGUAUUUGGCAAACAGCUCCUUUUGUGUUGCGCGUAGGUAGCUCUGGCUGUAUCUGUGAGCUAUAUAUAGAUAAAUACAUAUAUAUCUCCCUCCAUGUAAUGUUUCCACUUUUUUUUUGCAGACUACCUGCAAAACACAGACACUAUCACAAGCCGUAAAUGCAGGAAUCAUACCGCUGACUGACAGGCAGUUCUGUAAAGCUUUUUGGUACAAAACUUUGUAUUUUCCAGGGAAAAACGAUGGGUCCUGUCUGUCCCACCUGGCAGGAGGGGAUGUGACCCCUGCAUUUUGGGAUAUUGCUGCACUAAGAGGAAGGUCCUGGGGUUGUAGAUGCAUGCUGGUAAUGCGGGAUGGAUUUUUCAGGAGGUAUUUGGGGAAUUCUAGGAAGCACGAAGCAUGGAAACUUGCUGGGAGAAGGGGGCAGGUAUCAGAGGGGUGUGGGGUCGCUUUGACUUCUACUCUCAGAAUGAAAAAUAAGGCAAAAACUUCAGGAAAGGGAGCUACACCAAACACAACUUUUAAUUUUUACUAUGUUGGAUCCCUACCCUUCCUAAACAGAGC